AUAACAAUAGGGCACACUCGUUGAAAAACGGGGUCGCAAAACUACAGGGGCUAUCACAUUUCCAAUUGGAUAUGUUAUGCCAGCCAGUUACCGAA
Molecule: non-coding RNA, 95 nt
Filed under: Paenibacillus typhae
Lineage: Bacteria; Bacillati; Bacillota; Bacilli; Caryophanales; Paenibacillaceae
Description: GEMM cis-regulatory element
Rfam family: c-di-GMP-I riboswitch aptamer
About the family: GEMM was predicted in a large-scale screen for bacterial structured RNA regulatory elements. Genes associated with GEMM are involved in a diverse array of functions, including chemotaxis regulation, signal transduction, secretion and chitin.
Source: RNAcentral